RNAcentral lists this long non-coding RNA (472 nucleotides) under Canis lupus familiaris (dog). RNAcentral's name for it is "lncRNA (ENSCAFG00040024311.1)". The record is from RNAcentral. Lineage: Eukaryota; Metazoa; Chordata; Mammalia; Carnivora; Canidae.
GAGCCCAGCCUUUUAAGUAAAGUGUUCCCAGUGCUUAAGGCAGCUGAACCUAAAUGAAGCCGAAAAUGACAAUGAAAACAGGUAGUCAAUUCAACUGAUACCUUGGGGUCCCAGAUGGAUUAAGAAUCCUGCAGACUGUGAGAUCCUGGAAAGGAGCUUCAGCAAUUUCUGCCACAAUGAUGAGGAAAGCAGCAGAUUCUUUGAAGAAUAUGUGCUGAGAUCUGGGAUCCCCCUGAGCAGCGUAGAUGUGAGACUGGAGAAGCUGUGCUCCCUGAUAUGGAGAUGCCUAGCCCUGGCUGAGUGGAACAGUGGCCUUGCAGUUCCAAGGCUGGGACUUCCAGGAGCAGAGAGGCUUAGCUCACUCCAGGAGCCUCAGCAGACAUGGAGACCACUCUGCUUCUCCUCUCCUAGCACAGGGGGAGACUGUGUCAUCUCCUUUUUGACAAAGGGGGAUUCCAGAAGUGGUACCUGA